This 440-nucleotide ribosomal RNA is filed under the name uncultured bacterium. RNAcentral's name for it is "partial 16S ribosomal RNA". It matches the Rfam family "Bacterial small subunit ribosomal RNA", at positions 338 to 795 of the family's 1533-position model. The record is from RNAcentral.
CCUACGGGAGGCUGCAGUGGGGAAUAUUGCACAAUGGGGGAAACCCUGAUGCAGCGACGCCGCGUGAGUGAGGAAGUAUUUCGGUAUGUAAAGCUCUAUCAGCAGGGAAGAAAAUGACGGUACCUGACUAAGAAGCCACGGCUAACUACGUGCCAGCAGCCGCGGUAAUACGUAGGGGGCAAGCGUUAUCCGGAUUUACUGGGUGUAAAGGGAGCGUAGACGGUUAAUCAAGUCAGAAGUGAAAGCCCGGGGCUCAACCCCGGGACUGCUUUGGAAACUGCCUGACUGGAGUGCUGGAGAGGCAAGCGGAAUUCCUAGUGUAGCGGUGAAAUGCGUAGAUAUUAGGAAGAACACCAGUGGCGAAGGCGGCUUGCUGGACAGUAACUGACGUUGAGGCUCGAAAGCGUGGGGAGCAAACAGGAUUAGAUACCCGAGUAGUC